Molecule: long non-coding RNA, 163 nt
Organism: Rhinichthys klamathensis goyatoka
Lineage: Eukaryota; Metazoa; Chordata; Actinopteri; Cypriniformes; Leuciscidae
Exons: 2
Source: RefSeq, a predicted model, not a curated record
UAAAAAUCCCAUCCAACGGUUCAAUAACAGAGCAAAUGAAAUGCCAGUCUCUUGAAAUUCAGCAAUACAUUCUUAAAAAUAAAAUAUUAAAACAAAACAUCAAUUUCUGAAAUGAUUCCCUAAACUGACAAAGUAAUGACAAACUUUUCUGGUAUCAAUAAAC